AUCGUGCGCCUAAGGAUGGCAAGAUUUAUCGAUGGGUGUGGUGUUUACCUUGACUCCUCCAGAAAACGUCAAGGCGAGAAGAAACCAUCUAGUUGGCACAAGUCAAGUCACGCGCUCGUGUGGUCAAACACCGAGUCAUUCUAGGUCCUAACCAAACCAGCCGGUGUUUGACCACACAGGCGUCACUUUGACUCGUGCCAACUAGAUGGUUUCUUUCCGCCUUGUCAUUUCUGCAUAAGAUGGCCAUCUUCACGCCCAUCGACAACUUUUGCCAUCCUUAGGAGCGCGAC
Brachypodium distachyon (stiff brome) is the source of this 290-nucleotide non-coding RNA. NCBI's taxonomy places the organism in Eukaryota, Viridiplantae, Streptophyta, Magnoliopsida, Poales, Poaceae. The record is from RefSeq and is marked provisional.